This 72-nucleotide transfer RNA is filed under the name Camelus dromedarius (Arabian camel). It matches the Rfam family "tRNA". Rfam says of the family: Transfer RNA (tRNA) molecules are approximately 80 nucleotides in length. Their secondary structure includes four short double-helical elements and three loops (D, anti-codon, and T loops). Lineage: Eukaryota; Metazoa; Chordata; Mammalia; Artiodactyla; Camelidae. RNAcentral also lists the same sequence under 2 other names. The record is from Rfam by way of RNAcentral.
GUGGGUAUAGCUCAGUGGUAGAGCACAUGCUUAGUAUGCAUGAGGUCCUGGGUUCAAUUCCCAGUACCUCCA